GUCCGUAUAGAUUAUUUAAAAUCAUAAUGCUGUUAACUUUAAGAAGAGGUUUAUCCUCUACGGUCG
Molecule: transfer RNA, 66 nt
Filed under: Potamotrygonocestus sp. MZUSP 7996
Lineage: Eukaryota; Metazoa; Platyhelminthes; Cestoda; Tetraphyllidea; Onchobothriidae
Description: tRNA-Asn
Source: RNAcentral